This 301-nucleotide ribosomal RNA is filed under the name uncultured bacterium. RNAcentral describes it as "partial 16S ribosomal RNA". It matches the Rfam family "Bacterial small subunit ribosomal RNA", at positions 510 to 808 of the family's 1533-position model. The record is from RNAcentral.
CGUAGCCACGGUAAUACAGAGGGUGCGAGCGUUAAUCGGAUUUACUGGGCGUAAAGCGUGCGUAGGCGGCUUCUUAAGUCGGAUGUGAAAUCCCUGAGCUUAACUUAGGAAUUGCAUUCGAUACUGGGAAGCUAGAGUAUGGGAGAGGAUGGUAGAAUUCCAGGUGUAGCGGUGAAAUGCGUAGAGAUCUGGAGGAAUACCGAUGGCGAAGGCAGCCAUAUGGCCUAAUACUGACGCUGAGGUACGAAAGCAUGGGGAGCAAACAGGAUUAGAUACCCCUGUAGUCCCUGUCUCUUAUACA